UACGGGGGGGGGAAGCGUUGUUCGGAAUUACUGGGCGUAAAGGGCUCGUAGGCGGCCAACUAAGUCAGACGUGAAAUCCCUCAGCUUAACUGGGGAACUGCGUCUGAUACUGGAUGGCUUGAGUUUGGGAGAGGGAUGCGGAAUUCCAGGUGUAGCGGUGAAAUGCGUAGAUAUCAGGAGGAACACCGAUGGCGAAGGCAGCUCGCUGGGACGGUACUGACGCUGAGGCGCGAAAGCGUGGGGAGCAAACAGG
This 253-nucleotide ribosomal RNA is filed under the name uncultured bacterium. Its description in RNAcentral is "partial 16S ribosomal RNA". It matches the Rfam family "Bacterial small subunit ribosomal RNA", at positions 524 to 776 of the family's 1533-position model. The record is from RNAcentral.